CCAAGGUCUGACUCGCCUGUUGUUUUUCCCCCCUCCUCUUGAACCAUGCUUACAAAGAAAAAGAGCAACCCUUCCCCACGUAGUACCAGCAGGGUAACCUGAGAACAUCCAUUUAGCGCGUCUGUCCCUGUGAAAAGGACCUUUCAGUGACACCAAGCUGAGUGUAUCCCACUCUAUUUAUAGGCACUGUUUGUUUAAUUCGAGUCCCGUCUCUAAGAAUAAAUAAUGAACUCAUUCUGGGGGCCAGCCAGAGCCUACAACUCUGUGACGAACCUGUAAAUCCCUUUCUCUUUCCUUCUGGUUCUGAAAGGGGUUCUCUAACUCAGAGACACAAAGAGACCCAUUUGGACUCAGAUCCCUCAGUAAGGAAGAUGUGGCCGUGGAGAAAGAGGACCCCUUUCCAUACCCUCCCGACCUGGUAGCAGGGCCUGGGGCCAGACUGUCUCACAAGGAAGUGUGUCUUCGAGUUUCCAUUAGCUGCUCUGGGUCAUACACACUGUCACCUGGCUGUCCUGAGGACUGUCACAGGCCGGUAGGUCUCAGUUACCUUAGGGAGAGUUUGUGUCCAUGGAGAGCAUGGGGAUUCCUUUCGAGGCAUCAGCUUGCUGAAGUUCUGACAUUGACUUAUGGGUCUGCUAGAGACAGGGUGAAAUCUUUUUCUUAUGGGACGUUCUUCUCACUCUGUCUCAUUGGGUCAAGGAGUAAAGAGUAUCAUCAUCACAUGUUUUCAUGGUCUUACUUGUGAAUGGUAGUCUGCCCACUAUACUUAGAGAUCUGGAUGGGAAGAUGGCCACACAUUCCCCUCUGCAGUUUUAUGCCUUCAAAUGUUCACAUACACCGGCUUUGGAAGUGGAACUUGUCACAGAAGCAGUUGGCACCCCCAGGUAUCUUUCUGGAUUCAUUUUGGUGCAACUUUGAGUCAAUCCUUUCAGCAGUAAGCUCUUUAUUUGAAAAGUAGUAUAUAUUAUUUCUUUUAUGCCGAGCGUUUUGGUAGGAACCAAAUUUAAAAAGCCUCUUGAUGAGGGUUAAAGAGGAGAGUAAAAAAGCUGGCUUAAAACUCAACAUGGAAAAAACUAACAUCUGGCAUCCAGUCUCAUUGCUUCAUGGCAAAUAGAUGGGGAAAAGUGGACAUGGUGGCAGAUUUUAUUUUCUUGAGCUCCAAAAUCACUGCGGAUGGUGACUGCAGCCAUAAAAUUAAGAUAUUUGUUCCUUAGAAGAAAAGCUAUGACAAACCUAGACAAUGUAUUAAAAGGCAGAGACAUCACUUUGCCAACAAAGGUCUGUAUAGUCAAAGCUAUAGUUUUUCCAGUAGUCAUGUAGGAAUGUGAGAGUUGGACCAUAAAGAAGGGUGAACACUGAAGAACUGAUGCUUUCAAACUGUGGUGCUGGAGAAGACUCUCGAGAGUCCCCUGAAAUCAACCCUGAAUACUCACUGGAAGGACUGAUGCUGAAACUGAAGGUCCAAUACUUGGGCCACCUGAUGAGAAGAGCUGACUCACUGGAAAAGACCCUGAUGCUGGGAAAGAUCGAGGGCAGGAGGAAAAGGGGGUGAACAGGAUGAUAUGGUUGGAUGGUAUCACUGAGGCAAUGGACAAGACUUUGAGCAAACUCCAGGAGAUACUGAAGGACAGGGGAGCCUGUUGUACUGCAGUCCAUGGGGUUGCAAAGAGUCAGACCUGACUGAGCAACUGAAAGUGAAAGUGAAAGUCAUUCAGCUGUGUCCAACUCUUUGCAACCCCAUGGGC
This is a long non-coding RNA of Bos indicus x Bos taurus (hybrid cattle), 1745 nucleotides long. The record is from Ensembl. Lineage: Eukaryota; Metazoa; Chordata; Mammalia; Artiodactyla; Bovidae.